AAGAAAUAACWAUACGGGGCUUAAUGUCUUGUAAUUGGAAUGAUGGGAAUUUAAACCUCUUCCAGAGUAUCAAUUGGAGGGCAAGUCUGGUGCCAGCAGCCGCGGUAAUUCCAGCUCCAAUAGCGUAUAUUAAAAUUGUUGCAGUUAAAAAGCUCGUAGUUGAAUUUCUGCUGCAUUUCAUUUCUCUUUCUGAGUUUGUUUUUGCGGCUUAUUUCGGUUUGAUUUUUUCUUUCCGGAUGAUUACUUUGAGAAAAUUAGAGUGCUCAAAGCAGGCUUUUGCCUUGAAUAGUUUAGCAUGGAAUAAUAAAGUAGGACUUUGGUUCUAUUUUGUUGGUUUUAGGUACCAAAGUAAUGGUUAAUAGGAACAGUUGGGGGCAUUCGUAUUUAACUGUCAGAG
RNAcentral lists this ribosomal RNA (397 nucleotides) under Theileria sp. RNAcentral describes it as "SSU rRNA". It matches the Rfam family "Eukaryotic small subunit ribosomal RNA", at positions 474 to 921 of the family's 1831-position model. Lineage: Eukaryota; Apicomplexa; Aconoidasida; Piroplasmida; Theileriidae. The record is from RNAcentral.